UACGGGGGGGGGCAAGCGUUGUUCGGAAUUACUGGGCGUAAAGGGCUCGUAGGCGGCCAACUAAGUCCGACGUGAAAUCCCCAGGCUUACCUGGUGAACUGCGUCGGAUACUGGAUGGCUUGAAUCGGGAGAGGGAUGCGGAAUUCCAGGUGUAGCGGUGAAAUGCGUAGAUAUCGUGGAGACACCGGUCGGCGAAGGCGGCAUGCCUGGACCGCAUUCGUCGCGUGAGGAGCGAAAGCCAGGGAGGCAAACGGG
Molecule: ribosomal RNA, 255 nt
Filed under: uncultured bacterium
Lineage: Bacteria
Description: partial 16S ribosomal RNA
Rfam family: Bacterial small subunit ribosomal RNA
Source: RNAcentral